RNAcentral lists this long non-coding RNA (898 nucleotides) under Chinchilla lanigera (long-tailed chinchilla). RNAcentral describes it as "lncRNA (ENSCLAG00000024905.1)". Lineage: Eukaryota; Metazoa; Chordata; Mammalia; Rodentia; Chinchillidae. The record is from RNAcentral.
CUCAGAUAAAAAGCCUCUUAAUUCCAAAUCACUCUGCCAGCUAAUUAUUAUCAUCACUCUGGUUUAUAAAUACAAAUUGCUCCCAACAGAAUUUAUGAGAAAUAAUGACUCUGUCGUGUAGGUGGAAGAAAAACCCACUCUCCCUGAAUUCAUGCCUCCCUUGCUAUGAUGUUUUGAUCCAUACAUUUAUUUCCAAAUAAUAUAUGUAUGUGGUAACCUAAUUAUAUAAAAGCCCUAAAGUGGCAUAAGACUGGGGUGAGCUCCAGGUUCCUGAACCCCUAGCACACUGCAGCCCUCUUCUGCAAGAAGGACAAGAGUUAAAUGGGGGUUGAAGUGUAGUUUUUAUUAAACCCCAGGAAAGCUGUGUUCCUAAGCCCCAGGUUUCUCUGCUAAACUGUUUUAGCUCACUCAGGAUGUCCAUACCUGUCCUCCUUGAAUCUAAAAUAUCUAGGCAGGAGGAAUGUCAUAAGCUGAAUGUAUGUGUCCAUCCAAAAUUCAUAUGUUGAAAUCUAGAUUCAAUUUAAAGGUAUGCAUGGGAAGAGAUUUCAGAGGGUAAUUAGAGCAAGAGGGCAAAGCUUUGGUGAAUAGAAUUUGUGACCUUAUAAGAAGAGACUUCAGAGAGCUCCCUCCCUUCUGCCAUGUGAUGUUACAGCACAAAGACCAUCUGUGGACCAGGGAACAGACAUCAAGCCUGUUGGUGCCCUGCUUUUGGAAUUCCCAGUGGCCCCAGUGGACCAGAAGCACCAGCAGCACCAGCAGCACCGGCAGGAGUAGCACAGCAGCGGCAAGACACAGUCUCCCAAGGGGCCUAUGGAACCAGCAGAUUAAGGCUCAGGAUAAAGUGGAACAAAGAGACAAAGAUGAUGAAUGCUAAGCCAUCUCUAAACUUAAAAGCCUA